UCUGAAAGUGAACACGGAAGGUCCAAC
This 27-nucleotide small RNA is filed under the name Bombyx mori (domestic silkworm). Its description in RNAcentral is "ovarian small RNA-2116". Lineage: Eukaryota; Metazoa; Arthropoda; Insecta; Lepidoptera; Bombycidae. The record is from RNAcentral.